RNAcentral lists this small nuclear RNA (139 nucleotides) under Suricata suricatta (meerkat). Its description in RNAcentral is "U2 spliceosomal RNA (ENSSSUG00005011211.1)". It matches the Rfam family "U2 spliceosomal RNA". From Rfam's summary of the family: U2 is a small nuclear RNA (snRNA) component of the spliceosome (involved in pre-mRNA splicing). Complementary binding between U2 snRNA (in an area lying towards the 5' end but 3' to hairpin I) and the branchpoint sequence (BPS) of the intron results the bulging out of an unpaired adenosine, on the BPS, which initiates a nucleophilic attack at the intronic 5' splice site, thus starting the first of two transesterification reactions that mediate splicing. The record is from RNAcentral. Lineage: Eukaryota; Metazoa; Chordata; Mammalia; Carnivora; Herpestidae.
AUCGCUUCUCGGCCUUUUGGCUAAGAUCAAGUGUAGUCUCUGUUCUUAUCAGUUUAAUAGUACAAGUAUUGAAAUGGGGUAUCACAAACUGGUGGACCUCAAUACUUCUAAUUCUCCAGAGGCCCCGCCUCUACUUUUA